RNAcentral lists this ribosomal RNA (119 nucleotides) under Pteropus vampyrus (large flying fox). Lineage: Eukaryota; Metazoa; Chordata; Mammalia; Chiroptera; Pteropodidae. The record is from RNAcentral.
GACUACGGCUAUACCACCCUGAACACGCCUGAUCUCGUCUGAUCUCGGAAGCUAAGCAGGGUCCGGCCUGGUUAGUACUUGGGUGGGAGACUGCCUGGGAAUACCCGGCGCUGUAGGCU